CGGGGGUAGGGUCGGAGGGCUCGCCCUCCUCCCCCCGUAAGGGGCCCGAAACGGGCGAAAACGCGGGGACCAGUAACCUUACACUGGACGGGACGUUGGCGGACUAUCCGUACCGCGUCAAACUCCGAUGAACCCCGCCCCGCGGGGUCCGCGGUGGCGGAGCCCCCAUCGGAGGAUGGGGGUAAACCGCCUUAACCGGGGGAACCAGGUCAGGCCCGGAAGGGAGCAGCCUAACCCCGGCCGCGGACGUUCGCGGGAGCUUAUGGGGCUGAAGGAGAAGCGCGGUACGGAUAGUCCUUAAUAACACCAACGUCCCGUCCAGUGUAAGGAGCCCCG
This 336-nucleotide signal recognition particle RNA is filed under the name Ignicoccus islandicus DSM 13165. RNAcentral's name for it is "Archaeal signal recognition particle RNA". It matches the Rfam family "Archaeal signal recognition particle RNA". The record is from Rfam by way of RNAcentral. Lineage: Archaea; Thermoproteati; Thermoproteota; Thermoprotei; Desulfurococcales; Desulfurococcaceae.